This 399-nucleotide ribosomal RNA is filed under the name uncultured bacterium. RNAcentral's name for it is "bacterial SSU rRNA". It matches the Rfam family "Bacterial small subunit ribosomal RNA", at positions 355 to 745 of the family's 1533-position model. The record is from RNAcentral.
UGGGGAAUUGUUCGCAAUGGGCGCAAGCCUGACGACGCAACGCCGCGUGGAGGAUGAAGAUCUUCGGGUCGUAAACUCCUGUCGAGCGGGACGAACGGCCCGGGGCCUAACAGGUCUCGGGAGUGACGGUACCGCUAAAGGAAGCCCCGGCUAACUCCGUGCCAGCAGCCGCGGUAAUACGGGGGGGGCAAGCGUUGUUCGGAAUUACUGGGCGUAAAGGGCGCGUAGGCGGCCUUCUAAGUCAGACGUGAAAUCCCUCGGCUCAACCGGGGAACUGCGUCUGAUACUGGAGGGCUUGAAUCCGGGAGAGGGAUGCGGAAUUCCAGGUGUAGCGGUGAAAUGCGUAGAUAUCUGGAGGAACACCGGUGGCGAAGGCGGCAUCCUGGACCGGCAUUGACG